UAUAUUUAAAGCGCCAGAACUUCGAAAGAAGUUGACGAGGUUGGGGAGUUAUCGAAACUUCGGCGGGUGCCCCACGGUAUUAAGCACUACCGUUAACGGCUGGCAAACCUUUAAAGUGAUUUAAAGAACAAAUCCA
Molecule: non-coding RNA, 136 nt
Filed under: Clostridium neonatale
Lineage: Bacteria; Bacillati; Bacillota; Clostridia; Eubacteriales; Clostridiaceae
Description: glmS glucosamine-6-phosphate activated ribozyme
Rfam family: glmS glucosamine-6-phosphate activated ribozyme aptamer
About the family: This entry contains a glucosamine-6-phosphate activated ribozyme that is found in the mRNA for GlmS. GlmS is an enzyme that uses fructose-6-phosphate and glutamine to generate glucosamine-6-phosphate.
Source: RNAcentral